GAUGAAGGAACGCAGCGAAAUGCGAUACGUAAUGUGAAUUGCAGAAUUCAGUGAAUCAUCGAAUCUUUGAACGCAUAUUGCGCUCUCUGGUAUUCCGGAGAGCAUGCUUGUUUGAGUAUCAGUAAACACCUCAACUUCCAUAUCUUUUUUGAAAUGGGAGUUGGACUUGAGUGAUCCCAACGCUUUUCCUCACCGAAAAGUGGCGGGUUACUUGAAAUGCAGGUGCAGCUGGACUUUUCUCUGAGCUAUAAGCAUAUCUAUUUAGUCUGCCUAAAAAACAGAUUAUUACCUUUGCUGCAGCUAACAUAAAGGAGAUUAGUUCUUGUGCUGACUGAUGCAGGAUUCACAAAGACGGCUUCGGCCGACUUUGUAAACUCGAUCUCAAAUCAAGUAAGACUACCCGCUGAACUUAAGCAUAUCAAUAAGCGGAGGA
Molecule: unclassified non-coding RNA, 433 nt
Filed under: soil metagenome
Description: partial contains 5.8S ribosomal RNA, internal transcribed spacer 2, and large subunit ribosomal RNA
Rfam family: 5.8S ribosomal RNA (bases 1-121)
Source: RNAcentral